This 478-nucleotide ribosomal RNA is filed under the name uncultured bacterium. RNAcentral's name for it is "partial 16S ribosomal RNA". It matches the Rfam family "Bacterial small subunit ribosomal RNA", at positions 28 to 523 of the family's 1533-position model. The record is from RNAcentral.
GACGAACGCUGGCGGCGUGCUUAACACAUGCAAGUCGAACGGUAAGGCCCUUCGGGGUACACGAGUGGCGAACGGGUGAGUAACACGUGGGUGAUCUGCCCUGCACUUCGGGAUAAGCCUGGGAAACUGGGUCUAAUACCGGAUAGGACCCUGGGAUGCAUGUCCUGGGGUGGAAAGCUUUUGCGGUGUGGGAUGGGCCCGCGGCCUAUCAGCUUGUUGGUGGGGUGAUGGCCUACCAAGGCGACGACGGGUAGCCGGCCUGAGAGGGUGACCGGCCACACUGGGACUGGGAUACGGCCCAGACUCCUACGGGAGGCAGCAGUGGGGAAUAUUGCACAAUGGGCGCAAGCCUGAUGCAGCGACGCCGCGUGAGGGAUGACGGCCUUCGGGUCGUAAACCUCUUUCAGCACCGACGAAGCGCAAGUGACGGUAGGUGCAGAAGAAGGACCGGCCAACUACGUGCCAGCCGCCGCGGUAA